RNAcentral lists this long non-coding RNA (1069 nucleotides) under Vulpes vulpes (red fox). RNAcentral describes it as "lncRNA (ENSVVUG00000002804.1)". The record is from RNAcentral. Lineage: Eukaryota; Metazoa; Chordata; Mammalia; Carnivora; Canidae.
CCCCACUCUACCCACAGCCCGGAGGAUGCCCUUGCCUCAUCCCCCUUCCACACCUGGGCCACAGGUGGGUGCACCCAUCCAUCAAAGCAGCUCCAUUUCUCCUCUAAGAAGGACAAGGACUGGGAAAUGUUUGCACACAGAUUCCUACUUCAAGGUCAAAGCAGGCGACAAAAGAAAACUGUGGCAAAAUUAAAGCUGGGUUUGAAAGGAGGCUGGAACACAUGCUGUGUUUUAGGUGGCUACAGGGGAUAGAGAUAAUACUCCAAGACUUCAAUUUCAUGAAUAUAAAGCAGUACCUUUUUUUUCCCCUUUUCUUUUCAAAUGUUUUCACCUUGUGCUAUGAGACACUGGGUACACACAGAGCAUUAUAAAAAGAACGCUAGGAGACAAGCUUUGUCUCAUCACUUUUUUUUUUCUCUCCGCACUUCAGAGUUGGCCAGAACACUUUAGCUCUGUAAUUGGCCAAGUCUCAAUGCCUGCAAAGUGUUUCUGGAACUAUUUAUUGUAUCCUCUUCUGUGACUUGCCUUUAACGGCACACACAGCCCACCAAGGGACUUUCCCUUCGUGUUCAGCACUUAGCACUGAAUCUCCCUGGCAAGGCUCUCCAUGACUGCACAAUCUCACACCUGCCAGUGCUGGAAAGUUCUGGAAAUAAGGACUCUGCCAGACAUUCCUUCAGAGUACUUCACCUCAGCCAGUUCCUCAUUCUCCCAGCCAUUGCACAACUGCCGCUGGAGCCAAGCUGGAGCCAAGCAUUACCGUGAGCUGCGUGGGUACCAGAACUCAUCUGGGGGCUUAUUUUGUCCCGAGCUUCGCUCAUCUGGCAGUCAGAGGCAAAGAUUCAAGUUUGGAAUCCUGUUUCCCGCUUCAUUUCCUAGAGGACUUGGCCCCCUGCCUUCUUUUGGACUCUGUGACUUAAGAUAUUUAUCAUUUCAGGGCCAGGCUUUGCCAAGGGUAUUUUGGUCUCAGGCAGAAAACAAAAAUAGACUCAUUUCAAAAACAAUCCAACUGUUGUUAUGUUUCUGAUUUUUGAAUCCCACCCCCCAACCCGUUUAAAAGAAAUUCCUG